RNAcentral lists this long non-coding RNA (974 nucleotides) under Marmota monax (woodchuck). The record is from RNAcentral. Lineage: Eukaryota; Metazoa; Chordata; Mammalia; Rodentia; Sciuridae.
GGCAGGUGGGAGGAGACGAAGCCCCCUGAGGUCUCUGCCAGCCCCUUCCCACCCCAGCCUGCUUCUCAUCUGCAAAAGGUGGGAGCUGCUAGCACAGUUCUGUCAAGAUCUUGCACUCAGCAGUGAGCUGGGCUCCGGGUCCUGUGACCUGUUUCUUGCCUUCUCACCUAACUCGACCAUUCUUCUUUUUCUGAAUCAUUAAAUUUCGGGUGCAACAUAAUUUCUGAUCAUAAUCCAUUGUUUAACGUGACUGAUGCUUUUUCAUUUAAAUAUCAAUAGUAACAGAAUGCUUGGACAUCGGACAUAAAAUCUACUAUCUUCAAUUUUUUGGGCGGUGCUGGGUAUUGAAUCCAGGGGUGCUCUACCACUGAGCUACACCCCAGCCCAUUUAUUUAUUUAACUUUUGAGACAGGGUCUUGCUAAGUUGCCCAGGCUGACCUCCAACUUGUGAUCCUCCUGCCUCAGCCUCCCCAGUCACUGGGAUUACAGGUGUGUUCCACUGAGCCUGGCCACUGUUUUUAAUUGUACAGUCUAGCACUGUCAAGAAGAUUCACUCUUAAGAUUUUUUUUUUUUAUCUUACAAAACUGAAAGCCAAUUCCUUUUUGAUAUCUAGGCUGUUUACACUGAGAAAAAAUAUUUUUAAUGAUGUUUAGGGUAGGGGGGGGCUCCUGGAUCACAGAACCUACCUCAAUGCUCUCUUCGGGACAUAUUGUCAGAGGUGGGAAUUUGGGCUCAGGGACUUCCUGCCUGGAGCCCUGCCGUGGACAUGGCCCAGCACAUGAACGCGGGGGGCAGACUGACCCUGGAGCCCAUGCCCCCUCCCAUGAGCAUCUGCUCACUUUUCAAGGUGUGGGCGCGCAAGGUUCAGCAACCCCGUCACGAGUUCUGGUCGUCCCCACGCCCUCUCGCGAGCCAGUGGUGUGGCCGGAGUGGGCGACAGACCCCUUCCCCUAUUCCCCAGUCUUUUUUCUUU